This 912-nucleotide ribosomal RNA is filed under the name Halobacteriales archaeon QS_8_65_32. RNAcentral's name for it is "bacterial SSU rRNA". It matches the Rfam family "Archaeal small subunit ribosomal RNA", at positions 1 to 914 of the family's 1478-position model. Lineage: Archaea; Methanobacteriati; Methanobacteriota; Halobacteria; Halobacteriales. The record is from RNAcentral.
AUUCCGGUUGAUCCUGCCGGAGGCCAUUGCUAUUGGGAUCCGAUUCAGCCAUGCAAGUCGUGCGGGUUCAGACCCGCGGCGAACGGCUCCGUAACACGUGGUCAAGCUACCCUAUGGACCGGGAUACUCUCGGGAAACUGAGGCUAAUCCCGGAUAGCGCUUUCAGCCUGGAGUGGCGAAAGCGCCAAACGCUCCGGCGCCACAGGAUGUGACUGCGGCCGAUUAGGUAGACGGUGGGGUAACGGCCCACCGUGCCAAUAAUCGGUACGGGUAGUGAGAGCUAGAGCCCGGAGACGGACUCUGAGACAAGAGUCCGGGCCCUACGGGGCGCAGCAGGCGCGAAACCUUUACACUGCACGAUAGUGCGAUAGGGGGAUCCCAAGUGCGAGGGCAUACAGUCCUCGCUUUUUCCGACCGUAAGGUGGUCGGCGAAUAAGAGCUGGGCAAGACCGGUGCCAGCCGCCGCGGUAAUACCGGCAGCUCAAGUGAUGGCCGAUUUUAUUGGGCCUAAAGCGUCCGUAGCUGGCUAGAUAGGUCCGUCGGGAAAUUCACCCGCUCAACGGGUGGGCGUCCGGCGGAAACCAGCUAGCUUGGGACCGAGCGACCUGAGGGGUACGUCCGGGGUAGGAGUGAAAUCCCGUAAUCCCGGACGGACCAUCGGUGGCGAAAGCGCCUCAGGAGAGCGGAUCCGACGGUGAGGGACAAAAGCUUGGGUCUCGAACCGGAUUAGAUACCCGGGUAGUCCAAGCUGUAAACGAUGCUCGCUAGGUGUGGCGCUGGCUACGAGCCAGCGCUGUGCCGUAGGGAAGCCGUGAAGCGAGCCGCCUGGGAAGUACGUCCGCAAGGAUGAAACUUAAAGGAAUUGGCGGGGGAGCACUACAACCGGAGGAGCCUGCGGUUUAAUUGGACUCA